ACUCAAAUGAAUUGACGGGGGCCCGCACAAGCGGUGGAGCAUGUGGUUCAAUUCGACGCAACGCGAAGAACCUUACCUGGGUUAGACAACGGUGGACCGCCCUAGAAAUAGGGCUUUCCCUUCGGGGACUGCCGGUUCAGGUGCUGCAUGGCUGUCGUCAGCUCGUGCCGUGAGGUGUUGGGUUAAGUCCCGCAACGAGCGCAACCCUUGCCCUUAGUUGCUACCAUUAAGUUGAGCACUCUAGGGGGACUGCCGGCGUUAAGCCGGAGGAAGGCGGGGACGACGUCAAGUCAUCAUGGCCCUUAUAUCCAGGGCUACACACGUGCUACAAUGGGCGGUACAAAGGGUUGCAAACCCGCGAGGGGGAGCCAAUCCCAAAAAGCCGCUCUCAGUUCGGAUUGGAGUCUGCAACUCGACUCCAUGAAGGCGGAAUCGCUAGUAAUCGCGGAUCAGCACGCCGCGGUGAAUACGUUCCCGGGCCUUGUACACACCGCCCGU
Molecule: ribosomal RNA, 498 nt
Filed under: uncultured bacterium
Lineage: Bacteria
Description: partial 16S ribosomal RNA
Rfam family: Bacterial small subunit ribosomal RNA
Source: RNAcentral